AUUGAACGCUGGCGGCAUGCUUUACACAUGCAAGUCGAACGGUAACAGGCCGCAAGGUGCUGACGAGUGGCGAACGGGUGAGUAAUGCAUCGGAACGUGCCCAGUCGUGGGGGAUAACUACUCGAAAUAGUAGCUAAUACCGCAUACGAUCUAUGGAUGAAAGCGGGGGACCGUAAGGCCUCGCGCGAUUGGAGCGGCCGAUGUCAGAUUAGGUAGUUGGUGGGGUAAAGGCUCACCAAGCCAACGAUCUGUAGCUGGUCUGAGAGGACGACCAGCCACACUGGGACUGAGACACGGCCCAGACUCCUACGGGAGGCAGCAGUGGGGAAUUUUGGACAAUGGGCGCAAGCCUGAUCCAGCAAUGCCGCGUGCAGGAAGAAGGCCUUCGGGUUGUAAACUGCUUUUGUACGGAACGAAACGGCUCUGGUUAAUACCCGGGGCUAAUGACGGUACCGUAAGAAUAAGCACCGGCUAACUACGUG
This 482-nucleotide ribosomal RNA is filed under the name uncultured bacterium. RNAcentral's name for it is "partial 16S ribosomal RNA". It matches the Rfam family "Bacterial small subunit ribosomal RNA", at positions 30 to 507 of the family's 1533-position model. The record is from RNAcentral.